RNAcentral lists this ribosomal RNA (560 nucleotides) under Microbacterium sp. S11. RNAcentral's name for it is "bacterial SSU rRNA". It matches the Rfam family "Bacterial small subunit ribosomal RNA", at positions 26 to 603 of the family's 1533-position model. The record is from RNAcentral. Lineage: Bacteria; Bacillati; Actinomycetota; Actinomycetes; Micrococcales; Microbacteriaceae.
GGAGACGCUGGCGGCGUGCUUACACAUGCAGUCGUAACGGUGAAGCCAAGCUUGCUUGGUGGAUCAGUGGCGAACGGGUGAGUAACACGUGAGCAACCUGCCCUGGACUCUGGGAUAAGCGCUGGAAACGGCGUCUAAUACUGGAUAUGAGCUCUCAUCGCAUGGUGGGGGUUGGAAAGAUUUUUCGGUCUGGGAUGGGCUCGCGGCCUAUCAGCUUGUUGGUGAGGUAAUGGCUCACCAAGGCGUCGACGGGUAGCCGGCCUGAGAGGGUGACCGGCCACACUGGGACUGAGACACGGCCCAGACUCCUACGGGAGGCAGCAGUGGGGAAUAUUGCACAAUGGGCGGAAGCCUGAUGCAGCAACGCCGCGUGAGGGAUGACGGCCUUCGGGUUGUAAACCUCUUUUAGCAAGGAAGAAGCGGAAGUGACGGUACUUGCAGAAAAAGCGCCGGCUAACUACGUGCCAGCAGCCGCGGUAAUACGUAGGGCGCAAGCGUUAUCCGGAAUUAUUGGGCGUAAAGAGCUCGUAGGCGGUUUGUCGCGUCUGCUGUGAAAUCCC